CGUAGGGUGCUAGCGUUGUUCGGAAUCAUUGGGCGUAAAGCGCGUGCAGGCUGUUAGAUAAGUCGGAUGUGAAAUCCCUGGGCUCAACCGAGGAAGUGCAUUCGAAACUAUCUAGCUGGAAGAUGGUAGAGGAAGGUGGAAUUCCAAGUGUAGAGGUGAAAUUCGUAGAUAUUUGGAGGAAUACCGGUGGCGAAGGCGGCCUUCUGGACCAUUCUUGACGCUGAGACGCGAAAGCGUGGGUAGCAAACAGGAUUAGAUACCCUGGUAGUCCACGCCCUAAACGAUGGGUACUAGGUGUUGCAGGAAUUGACCCCUGCAGUGCCGCAGCUAACGCAUUAAGUACCCCGCCUGGGAAGUACGGCCGCAAGGUUA
RNAcentral lists this ribosomal RNA (372 nucleotides) under uncultured organism. RNAcentral's name for it is "bacterial SSU rRNA". It matches the Rfam family "Bacterial small subunit ribosomal RNA", at positions 526 to 896 of the family's 1533-position model. The record is from RNAcentral.